Molecule: transfer RNA, 75 nt
Filed under: Phycisphaerae bacterium
Lineage: Bacteria; Pseudomonadati; Planctomycetota; Phycisphaerae
Also listed under: 5 other names
Description: tRNA-Pro
Rfam family: tRNA
About the family: Transfer RNA (tRNA) molecules are approximately 80 nucleotides in length. Their secondary structure includes four short double-helical elements and three loops (D, anti-codon, and T loops). Further hydrogen bonds mediate the characteristic L-shaped molecular structure. tRNAs have two regions of fundamental functional importance: the anti-codon, which is responsible for specific mRNA codon recognition, and the 3' end, to which the tRNAs corresponding amino acid is attached (by aminoacyl-tRNA synthetases). tRNAs cope with the degeneracy of the genetic code in two manners: having more than one tRNA (with a specific anti-codon) for a particular amino acid; and 'wobble' base-pairing, i.e. permitting non-standard base-pairing at the 3rd anti-codon position.
Source: RNAcentral
CGGGGCGUAGCUCAGCUUGGCUAGAGCGCUGCGUUCGGGACGCAGAGGUCGCAAGUUCAAAUCUUGUCGCCCCGA